GCGGGUGUAGCUCAGCUGGUAGAGCAUCGGCCUUCCAAGCCGUUUGUCGCGGG
RNAcentral lists this transfer RNA (53 nucleotides) under Acidobacteria bacterium RBG_16_64_8. RNAcentral's name for it is "tRNA-Gly". It matches the Rfam family "tRNA", at positions 1 to 51 of the family's 71-position model. Rfam says of the family: Transfer RNA (tRNA) molecules are approximately 80 nucleotides in length. Their secondary structure includes four short double-helical elements and three loops (D, anti-codon, and T loops). Further hydrogen bonds mediate the characteristic L-shaped molecular structure. tRNAs have two regions of fundamental functional importance: the anti-codon, which is responsible for specific mRNA codon recognition, and the 3' end, to which the tRNAs corresponding amino acid is attached (by aminoacyl-tRNA synthetases). tRNAs cope with the degeneracy of the genetic code in two manners: having more than one tRNA (with a specific anti-codon) for a particular amino acid; and 'wobble' base-pairing, i.e. permitting non-standard base-pairing at the 3rd anti-codon position. Lineage: Bacteria; Pseudomonadati; Acidobacteriota. The record is from RNAcentral.